CUUGCAGGGUACUCGAGUGGCGAACGGGUGAGUAACACGUGGGUGACCUGCCCUGCACUCCGGGAUAAGCUUGGGAAACUGGGUCUAAUACCGGAUAGGAGCCAUCUUUAGUGUGGUGGUUGGAAAGUUUCGGCGGUUGGGGAUGGACUCGCGGCUUAUCAGCUUGUUGGUGGGGUAGUGGCUUACCAAGGCUUUGACGGGUAGCCGGCCUGAGAGGGUGACCGGCCACAUUGGGACUGAGAUACGGCCCAG
RNAcentral lists this ribosomal RNA (252 nucleotides) under uncultured Actinomycetales bacterium. RNAcentral describes it as "partial 16S ribosomal RNA". It matches the Rfam family "Bacterial small subunit ribosomal RNA", at positions 79 to 334 of the family's 1533-position model. Lineage: Bacteria; Bacillati; Actinomycetota; Actinomycetes; Actinomycetales. The record is from RNAcentral.